GCCGGCCUGGGAGCACCCUACUCACCGGCGUGUUGCAGGCAGGCAGGAACAUUCCCAGGAUAAAGGCUCCCAGGAGGGGACCGCUGAUGACUCCCAUGACGAUCUCCAAGCCAGGGUGAGGCCCUUCCUUCCUCCAGGCUGCCACCCUUCAACCUCCCACCUCCCAUCACCUCCAGUCCAGGUUGAUCCGGGAGUGGUUCUGGGCAACCUCAAGCAUUUGCUCGAGUCCUCCCACGAGCACGGUCCCGCGGGCCAGGACUGCCCAGAAGCCAGUCAGCAUCACCACGACCUGGAACACGUCGGUCCAG
This is a non-coding RNA of Manis javanica (Malayan pangolin), 308 nucleotides long. The record is from RefSeq and is a predicted model, not a curated record. NCBI's taxonomy places the organism in Eukaryota, Metazoa, Chordata, Mammalia, Pholidota, Manidae.